UACGUAGGGGGCUAGCGUUGUCCGGAAUCAUUGGGCGUAAAGCGCGCGUAGGCGGCCAGAUAAGUCCGGUGUGAAAGUCACAGGCUCAACCUGUGAAUGCCGCUGGAAACUGUCUGGCUUGAGUCCGGAAGGGGCGAGUGGAAUUCCUGGUGUAGCGGUGAAAUGCGCAGAUAUCAGGAAGAACACCUAUGGCGAAGGCAGCGCGGUGGGACGGUACUGACGCUGAGACGCGAAAGCGUGGGGAGCGAACAGG
This 253-nucleotide ribosomal RNA is filed under the name uncultured bacterium. RNAcentral describes it as "partial 16S ribosomal RNA". It matches the Rfam family "Bacterial small subunit ribosomal RNA", at positions 524 to 776 of the family's 1533-position model. The record is from RNAcentral.